This 450-nucleotide ribosomal RNA is filed under the name uncultured bacterium. RNAcentral's name for it is "partial 16S ribosomal RNA". It matches the Rfam family "Bacterial small subunit ribosomal RNA", at positions 354 to 796 of the family's 1533-position model. The record is from RNAcentral.
GUGGGGAAUUUUGGACAAUGGGCGCAAGCCUGAUCCAGCAAUGCCGCGUGCAGGAAGAAGGCCUUCGGGUUGUAAACUGCUUUUGUACGGAACGAAAAGGCUCUGGCUAAUACCUGGAGCUCAUGACGGUACCGUAAGAAUAAGCACCGGCUAACUACGUGCCAGCAGCCGCGGUAAUACGUAGGGUGCGAGCGUUAAUCGGAAUUACUGGGCGUAAAGCGUGCGCAGGCGGUGCUGUAAGACAGGCGUGAAAUCCCCGGGCUCAACCUGGGAAUUGCGCUUGUGACUGCAGCGCUGGAGUGCGGCAGAGGGGGAUGGAAUUCCGCGUGUAGCAGUGAAAUGCGUAGAUAUGCGGAGGAACACCGAUGGCGAAGGCAAUCCCCUGGGCCUGCACUGACGCUCAUGCACGAAAGCGUGGGGAGCAAACAGGAUUAGAUACCCGAGUAGUCC